AGCCACCAAGGUGCACCUGACCCAAUGGUCUCCCAGGUUUCAGGUCCUAAACCGCGGCUCGCUGGCUAGGGGCUCUUCCAGCUUACAGCGGAAGCAGGUGCACAGCUCCAGCUCGUAGCCCACUUCGCGUUUCCCUGGAGGCUCCAAGGGCGAGUACUUAUACACUAUCGAGUUGGCGCCAACCGAGGCACGCCCACCAGGGGAUGGACGCGCCAAUGGGAGGGCCUACUAAGCCCGCGAACUCUUUGCCGCGUUAAAUUGUCUAGAAGCUUCCAACUUCCUGAUUGUUUCCAAAUGGCUCUUAGUUUGGGGGAUUUGGGAGUUUUUUUCCCACCCCCUGUCUCCCGCCCUUUCCCAGACUCCUCGCUCCCUCCCUCACUUCCUCCCUCUCCGUCGUCUAUCUAUUCAUCUGUCUGAAUUACAAUACAACAAAGAAUAAAGAUUGUGAAGAAAGACAAAA
Callithrix jacchus (white-tufted-ear marmoset) is the source of this 460-nucleotide non-coding RNA. NCBI's taxonomy places the organism in Eukaryota, Metazoa, Chordata, Mammalia, Primates, Cebidae. The record is from RefSeq and is a predicted model, not a curated record.